AUAUAGCGUGUUCUCCUUCAUGGAGAGCACGUGUUGCGGUGGGGUCUGCUGAGCCACCCCUCUGUUACCAGGCAGGGUCUCUAAAGAUGGCCUGGGGCAGUGAUUGGUUCACUGGGUUGCUGGGGUAAAAGUUAUGUUGCAAUUUUGGUGGGAGGGGUAAAAUGUUUAAAUACUCUGCACGCAGCCUGGAGCUUUCUCUUUGCUGCGUGCAACGGAUCACCUGGAGCACUUGGACCGUCUGGAGGACAGUGGAGCGAUCUUCUCAUUGUCUGGUUACAUUUCUUUAUUUUCCCCUUCUUUUUAAUCUUCUCUAGUCCCUUAAUUAAUUUAAUUCCCCCUUUUUUCUGUUUGAUUUCCCACCCCACCCCUUACCCUGCCCUUUGGGAAGAUUCUCCCUGUUCCUGUGGGCGCUGCCUGUGCAUAAUCCUCCUGGGCUUGCCUUUCCCAAUAGGGAGAGAGCCCCCAUUAGGGGCUUUCUUUUGCAAAAAGGCUUUCCCCAUUUUCGCCUGUUUAAUUGUGGGGCUAGCCAGGGCUGCUCCCAGCUUACCUGGAAUCACUUUCAUUUAUAGUAUCCCCAUAGGUUGGCUUUAUUUUGGGUGCGUGCAGUGCUGUUGGCCAAAUUUUAAUCUAGCCUUGGGCGGGAGCACUGUUUUGAGUUCCUUUAAUAUUGCAAUGAGACAAAAAAGGCAGAGAGCAGAAGCAGGGAGGCCUGCACGGCCUGCACAUAUCAUUCAAGCCUAAGCCUGCUACAGUUAGCAGUACAGUAAAUUCCCAGCUUACCUGGAAUCACUUUCGUUUAUAGUAUCCUCAUAGGUUGGCUUUAUUUUGGGUGAUUGCAGUGCUGUUGGCUGAGUUUUAAUUUAGCCUUGGGCGGGAGCACUAUUUUGAGUUCCUUUAAUAUUGCAAUGAGACAAAAAAGGCAGAGAGCAGAAGCAGGGAGGCCAUCACGGCCUGCACGGCCUGCACAUAUCAUUCAAGCCUAAGCCUGCUACAGUUAGCAGUACAGUGAAUUGUUAAGUUUCUGUAACAUGUGACUCAUUCUCUCUAUAAGAAUGUAUCUGUUGUUUGCAGGCUCACUUGUUGCUAAUGUAUAGCUUAGGCAGACAGAGUGGAGCCAGAGGCUCUCUGUGCCUCCAAUGAGCACUCUUUGUAUGCUCUUUAACUAUGCUGUUUCUGAACAAGUUUAUUUUCUUCAAGUUUGUUUUUCCCUGAUAGUGGCGACUGCCAUUUUAGAGACAAGCCAUUGUGGCUUAGUGGCUAGAGUACAGGACUAGGACCUGGGAGACAGGGUUCAUAUCCCUCACUUAGCCAUUGUUAUAACAAGGCAAAACAAGCUGCUCCUUUUGGACUAUUUUGUUGCUGGGUAGUUUGGCCCAUUUGUGAUAUUGCUCCCAAAAAGAACUUUGGGUUUCUUGAGGAGGUGCUUCCCUCUAAAGGGCAAGCAGGGGUACCUGGACAUGCGGUGGGCUGCCUCGAGUUUGUUAUCUCAUUGGAAACAUUUAUGUCUGGCCUAGCAGGUGAUCCUAGGGCUUGGCCCGCUUGGCCCUAGAAUUUGAUGGCCUCUGGCAGCGUUUCUGGCCUGAAUAGCGUCCCCAUGUGGUGCACAAAGCAUUGGUUUCACCUGUUCCUCACAUUGUUUAGGUUUUUUCUUUUCGCAGACUAUGACAGGGCCUUUGCAGAUGCCUCCAGAGCUUGCCUCUCCUGCAGAGGAUGACUUGUUGAUGCCCCAGGUGCCUUCUUCAGGAAGGAAGCGUCUUCAGAGGCAGGAAAAAGCAUAGCAGGGAUGAUGCUUACACCUCCUUGCAGGUAAAUCAUCACUGGGCUCUGAUGAUGAUUCAGACAUCACCUUGGACCUCUCCAGGGGUCAGGGUGAGGCUGUUCCAGGUCUUUAGGGAGCAUCCUGGAUAGCUCAGCUGGUCAGCGUAUGGUGCCGGUAAUGCCUAGGUUGCAGGAUUGGUCCCUGUAUGGGACAGCUGCAUGCUCCCUCAUCACUUUACCCGGACACUGAGGUCCAGCGCCGAGGGCCUUUCUGGUGGUUCCCUGACUGUGAGAAGCCAAGUUACAGGGAACCAGGUGGAGGGCUUUCUCGGAAGUGGCACCUGCCCUGUGGUACACCCUCCCACCAGAUGUCUACUACCAGACUUUUAGAAGACAUCUAAGGCAGCCCUGUUUAGGGAAGCUUUUAAUGUUUGAUGCAUUACUGUAUUUUAAUAUUUUGUUGGAAGCUGCCCAGAGUGGCUGGGGAAGCCCAGCCAGAUGGGCGGGGUACAAAUAGAUGAUGAUGAUGAUGAUGAUGAUGAUGAUGAUGAUGAUGAUAUUGUGGGAGAGUGGACUAGAUGAUCCUAGGAGUCCCUUCCAACCCCACUAUUCUAUAAGUGGUAAUUCACUAUGAUGGGAAUGUUAGACGCAGGGCUGCCAUCAUCCCCUUAGCUCGCUAGGAUCGCAGGGACGGGGACAUGUGGACCACUUGCGCAGCUCCACAUUUCAAAUGGAAAUUCCCUGAGCAAUAGAACCUGAAGCUGGUAUGCAGGAAGCUGGCCCGGUGGCAGCUUUGUUGGGACUUCUUUAGGGUCUCUGGCCAGUGUUGGCCCUGUAAAUUUACACAUCAUGGUGGCAACACAAGGCAGGGCUUCUUGCCCAAGCGGGGGGCUGGCAAGCAAUAACUCAAUACCUCUCGCCCAUAUUUCCAUAAAAAUAUCUCCCUUUAAAGCCUGGCUAAAAGGUUAUCUAGAUGCGUCAGUAGCUUUGUGCUUGUGGGAAGGGUUUUUCCCAAGGUUUCGGGAUUCCUCUGGCUUUUCAGCCAGUGGCUCAGAAUACAGCAACUCAAAAGUCAGUUAGAGUCUGUGGUAGCCAGAAAGUCUGUGGUAGCCAGAAAGAAGGUUAGGAAGCAGCUUGCAUUGGGACGUAUGGUGGGAUCCCCUUGAUUCUCCUUCUAGUCCCGAUUUUCAUUUAUCCCCAUUGGGGAUCGUCCCUAAGAAAGCCCCAUAUAAUUCCAUCUGAUCCAUAUUUAUCGCACCCCAAAGGCACCUCAGUGAAUGAUGCUAUCCCUCCGGAAUUGUUCCGUGAAAUAUGCAUCUUUGGAUCAGGCAGUUGAGCUUACCAACAAAUUGGAGGAGGUGCCUUGUUGGCAUUAUGCGAUAUUGAAUCGGCUGUUAGGCUGCUGCCGGUUCACCCUCAAGAUUUUAAGUAGUUAGGCUUUAAUUGGAUGGUCCUUAUAUGGAUAAGGCGAUGCCAGUUGGUUGCUCAAUAGGCUGUGCAGCACUUGAGUCCUUUAGCGCCUUUCUGGAUUGAACAUUGCGAGUCAAGACUCGUUUAACUGGGGGUAUCGUUAUGUGGAUUAUUUUACUGGCUGGUUCAUGUGACACCAGCCUCUGCUUAGCUUACUAGAUGCCCCUUUAUUCCCUGAGGAGCUGGGUGUUCUGUUGGCAGUGGAGGACAGUGGCUCCUACUGCCCCUUUUAAUGUAUUUGGGGGCUAGCUGGAUACCGUUGCUCAAACAUCUGCUUGCCUGUGGAAAAGCUGUUUGCCUUGAAGGAUGUUAUUCUUGUAAUACUUCCUCUGAAGCAAGUGUUGCUUUGUCAGAUCCUAUCAUUCCUAGGUCAGUUAAAUUUUGCAUGCAGGGUGGUUGCUCCAGGCUGCCCCUUCCAUUCCUGCUUGGCCAGGUGGUCUCAUGGCCCGGUGUCCCUUCAUCAUCAUGUACAGUGGCCUUGAGCCUGGCAGGGCAAGGCAAUCACAUGUAACCUAACUUUUCUUGAGUUUUCCUCAUUGUAGUGUCAGCGCACAUCUGGACUGAGGAGUUUAGGGACCGUCAGGUCUGUCUUGGUCUGAUAACCAGGCAGUGUGAGAGUCCUGGCAAAACGGUCUUCAUGCUCUGGCAGAGUCUUCGCACUGCUUAAGGUUUAAUAUUGCGUUUCUGCUCACUUUAUUUCGGGAUCAUCUAAUGUUUUUGCUGUGGCUCUAUUUUUCAGUUGGAGAGCUUCAGAUCCUGGGCUCUGGACACCCAGCUAUUUUUCUGGAGCUCCUGUGGCACUUGGCAACAAUUAAUAAUUAUGAGGAAUAGUAGCUUACGUUUCCCCAUCCGCUUUCAGGUCUUAUGAGAAGGCCUGGACUGAUUUCUUAAAAUUUAGCUGGUAGUCCUCGGCCAUUCAGAGGAACCUGCCCCCAUCCUCUGAGCAGGACCUGCAGUAAUUCGCCCACCUGCUGCAGAUAGGAUGCAGUGUUAAAACUAUCAGAAUUCAGUCCGCUGCAAUGUCUGCUAGAGUAAAGCUUUA
This 4270-nucleotide long non-coding RNA is filed under the name Podarcis lilfordi (Lilford's wall lizard). The record is from RNAcentral. Lineage: Eukaryota; Metazoa; Chordata; Lepidosauria; Squamata; Lacertidae.